UACGUAGGGUGCAAGCGUUGUCCGGAAUUAUUGGGCGUAAAGAGCUCGUAGGCGGUCUGUCGCGUCGAUCGUGAAAACUUGGGGCUUAACUCUGAGCUUGCGGUCGAUACGGGCAUGACUGGAGUUCGGCAGGGGAGAGCGGAAUUCCCGGUGUAGCGGUGAAAUGCGCAGAUAUCGGGAAGAACACCGGUGGCGAAGGCGGCUCUCUGGACCUGUCCUGACGCUCAGGCGCGAAAGCUAGGGGAGCGAACAGG
Molecule: ribosomal RNA, 254 nt
Filed under: uncultured bacterium
Lineage: Bacteria
Description: partial 16S ribosomal RNA
Rfam family: Bacterial small subunit ribosomal RNA
Source: RNAcentral